Molecule: ribosomal RNA, 1377 nt
Filed under: Mycobacterium tuberculosis
Lineage: Bacteria; Bacillati; Actinomycetota; Actinomycetes; Mycobacteriales; Mycobacteriaceae
Description: partial 23S ribosomal RNA
Rfam family: Bacterial large subunit ribosomal RNA
Source: RNAcentral
UUGUAAGUGUCUAAGGGCGCAUGGUGGAUGCCUUGGCAUCGAGAGCCGAUGAAGGACGUGGGAGGCUGCGAUAUGCCUCGGGGAGCUGUCAACCGAGCGUGGAUCCGAGGAUUUCCGAAUGGGGAAACCCAGCACGAGUGAUGUCGUGCUACCCGCAUCUGAAUAUAUAGGGUGCGGGAGGGAACGCGGGGAAGUGAAACAUCUCAGUACCCGUAGGAGGAGAAAACAAUUGUGAUUCCGCAAGUAGUGGCGAGCGAACGCGGAACAGGCUAAACCGCACGCAUGGGUAACCGGGUAGGGGUUGUGUGUGCGGGGUUGUGGGAGGAUAUGUCUCAGCGCUACCCGGCUGAGAGGCAGUCAGAAAGUGUCGUGGUUAGCGGAAGUGGCCUGGGAUGGUCUGCCGUAGACGGUGAGAGCCCGGUACGCGAAAACCCGGCACCUGCCUAGUAUCAAUUCCCGAGUAGCAGCGGGCCCGUGGAAUCCGCUGUGAAUCCGCCGGGACCACCCGGUAAGCCUAAAUACUCCUCGAUGACCGAUAGCGGAUUAGUACCGUGAGGGAAUGGUGAAAAGUACCCCGGGAGGGGAGUGAAAGAGUACCUGAAACCGUGUGCCUACAAUCCGUCAGAGCCUCCUUUUCCUCUCCGGAGGAGGGUGGUGAUGGCGUGCCUUUUGAAGAAUGAGCCUGCGAGUCAGGGACAUGUCGCAAGGUUAACCCGUGUGGGGUAGCCGCAGCGAAAGCGAGUCUGAAUAGGGCGACCCACACGCGCAUACGCGCGUGUGAAUAGUGGCGUGUUCUGGACCCGAAGCGGAGUGAUCUACCCAUGGCCAGGGUGAAGCGCGGGUAAGACCGCGUGGAGGCCCGAACCCACUUAGGUUGAAGACUGAGGGGAUGAGCUGUGGGUAGGGGUGAAAGGCCAAUCAAACUCCGUGAUAGCUGGUUCUCCCCGAAAUGCAUUUAGGUGCAGCGUUGCGUGGUUCACCGCGGAGGUAGAGCUACUGGAUGGCCGAUGGGCCCUACUAGGUUACUGACGUCAGCCAAACUCCGAAUGCCGUGGUGUAAAGCGUGGCAGUGAGACGGCGGGGGAUAAGCUCCGUACGUCGAAAGGGAAACAGCCCAGAUCGCCGGCUAAGGCCCCCAAGCGUGUGCUAAGUGGGAAAGGAUGUGCAGUCGCAAAGACAACCAGGAGGUUGGCUUAGAAGCAGCCACCCUUGAAAGAGUGCGUAAUAGCUCACUGGUCAAGUGAUUGUGCGCCGAUAAUGUAGCGGGGCUCAAGCACACCGCCGAAGCCGCGGCACAUCCACCUUGUGGUGGGUGUGGGUAGGGGAGCGUCCCUCAUUCAGCGAAGCCACAGGGUGACCGGUGGUGGAGGAUGGGGG